Chiroxiphia lanceolata (lance-tailed manakin) is the source of this 2293-nucleotide RNA transcript. It is a transcript of the gene named CXXC finger protein 5, with no coding region annotated. The transcript is spliced from 3 exons. The record is from RefSeq and is a predicted model, not a curated record. NCBI's taxonomy places the organism in Eukaryota, Metazoa, Chordata, Aves, Passeriformes, Pipridae.
CGGCGGCGGCAGCGCCGUGCAGCGCGGAGCGGGGGCUGCGCACUCCCAGAGCGAGCGGCGAUGUGGAGAGCCGCGUGGUGUGUCCCAGAGCCGCAGAGUAUGUCUGUGCACUGAGAGUGCCCUGAGUCCUCCGCAGCCGGCGCGGGAGGAGACGCCCCGUUGAUGCGCGUUCCCGUCUGAGCGUCCCCGGUGCCCGGCGGGCUGGUGCUACCAGAAGGGCUUUGGGGGUCUUUUGCUGUGGCAUUGGGGGUGGGGUUUUUUUGGGGUUUUUUUCAUCCUUUUUUUUUUUUUUUUUUUUUUUUUUUUUUUUAAAUUUUGGGGUUGGUUUCGCUGUUGUGCUCCGAGCACCAUGUCAAAUUCGGGCUCCCACCAAGACACUGGGAACAAGCCAGAGACGGAAAAAAAUAACCAGGAUGACUCUCAACCCCCCGUCAACUCCGAGAGGAGGAACAAAAGUGGAAUAAUAAGUGAACCUUUGAACAAAAGUCUUAAGAAGUCCCGUCCACUCUCCCACUAUUCCACCUUUGGUAGCAGCAGCUCGGUAAGCGAACAUUCAGAGAAAGGCAACCCCUUAGCUAAUGGCAACGAUGCGAUUGUGGAUAAAAGUCAUUCUACCUCAAAGCACAAAAACAUCUCUAGUAUGCUGAGCAAAUUAGACCGGAUGUCGGAGCUCUCCUCAGAAGGACAGACCGCCCUCCAACAGUUUGCUCAGUCGACAGAAAUGCUCAAAAGAGUGGUACAGGAGCAUCUUCCUCUAGCAGGCGAGCACGGGACUGGUAUCUCUGACAUGGAGGCAGUCUCAGCUGCAGAGACAAUGAACGGCCCCUCUGAUUUUCCUUACCUGGGGGCUUUUCCCAUCAACCCAGGCCUUUUCAUUAUGACCCCUGCCGGCGUGUUUCUGGCAGAGAGCGCGCUCCAUAUGGCUGGCUUGGCAGAGUAUCCCAUGCAGAAUGAGUUGGCAUCUGCCAUCAAUUCGGGGAAAAAGAAACGGAAAAGAUGCGGCAUGUGCCCGCCCUGCCGAAGACGGAUAAACUGCGAGCAGUGCAGCAGUUGUAGGAAUCGCAAAACUGGCCACCAGAUUUGCAAAUUCCGAAAAUGUGAAGAACUCAAAAAGAAGCCUUCUGCAGCACUGGAGGUAACCGGCCCCUCUCAGGCACCCUAACCCCUCCUCGGGCUGCGCUCCUGGGUUCGGAUCUUGCCCUAGAUAAUAAAAUACCUGAAGGUGAUGCUUCCUACAGGAGCCGCGUUCAGAUGGUUCCAGUAGGAACGGGAAUCCCAAAGCUCUGUCAUCCAAGUGCAAUGUCACUGCUUGCUUGUGUUGUCUCAGGCAAGGGAUUUUUGGCUGAAAUGAAUGGAUGCACCUGUGUCUCUUUAGAACCAAAAAUAUUUUCUCGCAAAUCUCAUUCCUGUUUUUAUAAUUUUUUUUUCUUCUUUUUUUUUCUUUUUUUUUUUUUUGCGUUCGUUUUAACAUCUUCGAGUCCUAGUCAGACAUUUAACUGCUUUUCAAAUAAAAAACAAAAAAAAAAUAAUUAAAAGAAAAAAACAAUGGAUCUGUAAAGUACCAAGACUUAAUAGACAGAGUAUGGACAAUCAGUUUCUUUCUGUGUUUUGGUGUUGAUGUUGUUUAUGUGUGAAAGAUGCAGUACUUGUGUAGGGAAUGUAAAUUUACAGUAACCUUUUAAAAUCUAGUUACUAAUAAGCACUACUGUAAUUUAGCACAGUUGUUUAAUUGCACCCUCAUUUAUACUUUUUAUUUGAUUCUUUCCCAUCAUACAAUAGAGUGGAUAGUUUCUAGAAUGCCUCAACUUCAUGUUUAUAAAUGAGAAUAUGUUUAAAGCGAUGUAGUAUCCCUUCUCCUCGCCAUUCACCUCUGGAAAGUUUAACCCACAAGAGGGUUGGUAUAAAAGGUUGAAGAAAACAAUUGCUACACAACCGGCGGAAUUCAAAAAAAAAAAAAAAGGAAAAAAAAAAAGAGUAAAAAAAAGUCAAAAAAAAAAGUCAUUGUUAGUUUAUUAAUAUAGAACCAGAAAUGCUGCGUACAGAAAAUCCUCCUAAUUGCAACGGUUUACUCCUAGAAGUAAUUUUUGUAAACUUACGGAAGUUCAAAUCAAAAUAAACCAGAAUAUUGCAGGACCUGUGCUGAAGCAGUUACGCAAAGUGAUAUUUCUCUUCUGUUCACCCCCCCCCCGUCUCUCCAGCUCUCUCUCCAUCAUUAAAUUGAAAUGCUGUUUGUAAUGUUUUAGCGAUCCAGGCUGUUUUUGUGAAUAAAAUGAAUGCAUGUUUUGUGUCAUGA